UCAAAUAUAUGACAAUUAUCUUCAGAUGUUGGGACAUAAGCUAAUUGAAAUAUACAUUCAAAAUGUCUUCAAUGAUGUAUAAACUUUAUCAAUUUAGACCAGUGCCCAAUAUAAUAAUAUAAAAAUAUAUAUCAAACAUUAGAUAUGCGUGAGUUAUGCCAUUACAUGACCAAUUUUGCUGUUUGUGAGAUUUUUAUAGAAGAAAUCUCUGAGUUAGGUAUUUGAAUACAUUCAACAAAGCAAAGGUAUUAUGAAUUGCCAUUUUCUAGAGUAAUAGUUUCCAAGUUCCUCAGUUUGAAGCUAUAACUAAUCACAUAGAAUGUACUUCUUAACCAAAAUGACUAAGGAAGAAAUCCAUAAGUAUAAUUACAGAGGUUCCUUUCCCUUCCUCCCUUGGAUUUUUUCAUCCUAAGGCAAUUAGGUGGACAGAGUAAAGACGGCUUUCAUAUGGAGGGGAAGGCUGGCGCAGGGAGUCAGAACCUGGUCCAUAGAAAGAAGCUGUCCUGCUGGGGGCAACAUGCAGCACUGAAAUAUUCAAGAAAGAGGAAAAGUUCUUUGUCCUGUAAUUACAACUCUUCUGAAAUUUUCAAAAUGUAAUGUACAUGCAGAAAAGUACAUAACACAUUUGUGGAAGAGCUCACUUCUCAAACUGAACAUAAAUAACUGUGAAGGAACACCUAGCUCAAGAAAGAGAAUAUCAUCAGUAUCUCAGACACUGCUUACUCAUUCUCUUCCAAGUACUACGUCUCCCUCCCCAAAGACAAGCCCUAUUCUAAUUUCAAUCACCAUUAACCAGUUUUUCUUGUUUGGACUUUUAUAAGUAGAAUUAUGUAGUCUGAUUUAUCUUGACCAAGUUUCUGAUUGUGAGCUUAACUCAUGUUGCAUUAUAGCAGUGUUUUAUUGAUUUUUAAAUGACUAGAAAGGAUCCUAUACAUGAAAACACUGCAAUUUAUGUAUUCCAUACUGACUGACAAAUGUUUGGUAGUUUCUGGUUUUGUGGCUAUGACAAAGUGGUGCUCUGUUGGGAAUCUUGUAUGCCUUUUAGUACAUACCUGUGCACAUUUUAAAUAGUUACCAACCUAUGAUUAUAUAUUUAUGGGUACUGCAUUUAGUCUACAAGUAUGUAGCUAAGAGGACUGGGGGACACACCCAGUAUGUAAACCUAAAAGUAUUGGGAAAAUAAAAGAACAGUAUAUCUACCUUUAGUAGAUAAU
Molecule: long non-coding RNA, 1214 nt
Filed under: Sus scrofa (pig)
Lineage: Eukaryota; Metazoa; Chordata; Mammalia; Artiodactyla; Suidae
Description: lncRNA (ENSSSCG00055019279.1, ENSSSCG00065043815.1)
Source: RNAcentral